This 530-nucleotide long non-coding RNA is filed under the name Vulpes vulpes (red fox). Its description in RNAcentral is "lncRNA (ENSVVUG00000022058.1)". The record is from RNAcentral. Lineage: Eukaryota; Metazoa; Chordata; Mammalia; Carnivora; Canidae.
GGAAGUCUAAAGAACUGCUUAUUGAAAGAUCCCAAAGGUGACACAGAUGCAUGAGGGAAAGUAUUUAGCUUUGAUAAUUAAUGAUGUUUGAGUAUUUACAGUGGCUUUACAAACAACAAGCUGUUGGGUGGCUGUUUGUCAACUUGGUAUCAUCCCUAUCUCUUGCCAGGGUAGUUCUGGUUCACGUUCUGCCAAAGAAAAGAAUUUGUUUGGCGCUUGGAAGGGGAAAUAAUAGGAAAAGCCAACAUUCCCUGGUAACAGCUAUGGACAGAAGUGGGAACUGUUGGCAGGCAUGAGGUUGUCACGGCUUCUGGGUAAACUACUGCUUUGGGGGCUGCAGGUGGCUGCGAGUGGACAGUAGCAGCUUCCCUGCUAUUCCUGGAAUGCCUGCAGUUCCUUACCUUCUCGUUCCUCUGGAUUUCCCGAAAGCCCUGCUGAACAUUCUGCCUGUUCUUCAUCCUUCCUACCCUUCCAAAUGUCAUGUAGGUUUCUAAUUCCCUGAAUUAAAUCCCCUCUACUUGAAAUGUCUC